This is a long non-coding RNA of Pseudoliparis swirei, 1641 nucleotides long. RefSeq lists it as uncharacterized. The record is from RefSeq and is a predicted model, not a curated record. NCBI's taxonomy places the organism in Eukaryota, Metazoa, Chordata, Actinopteri, Perciformes, Liparidae. The transcript has 3 exons.
GAGGUGAGGGCUAAGUUAAAGGGCAAGUACCUAUGGAGGUGAAGGCUAAGUUAAAGGGCCAGUACCCAUGGAGGUGAGGGCUAAGUUAAAGGGCCAGUACCCAUGGAGGUGAGGGCUAAGUUAAAGGGCCAGUACCCAUGGAGGUGAGGGCUAAGUUAAAGGGCCAGUACCCAUGGAGGUGAAGGCUAAGUUAAAGGGCCAGUACCCAUGGAGGUGAAGGCUAAGUUAAAGGGCCAGUACCUAUGGAGGUGAAGGCUAAGUUAAAGGGCCAGUACCCAUAGAGGUGAAGGCUAAGUUAAAGGGCCAGUACCAAGAGGUAAAGGCUAAGUUAAAGGGCCAGGACCUAUGGAGGUGAAGGCUAAGUUAAAGGGCCAGUACCCAUGGAGGUGAAGGCUAAGUUAAAGGGCCAGUACCCAUGGAGGUGAAGGCUAAGUUAAAGGGCUAGUACCCAUAGAGGUAAAGGCUAAGUUAAAGGGCCAGUACCCAUAGAGGUGAAGGCUAAGUUAAAGGGCCAGUACCCAUAGAGGUAAAGGCUAAGUUAAAGGGCCAGUACCCAUGGAGGUGAAGGUUAAGUUAAAGGGCCAGUACCCAUGGAGGUGAAGGCUAAGUUAAAGGGCCAGUACCCAUGGAGGUGAAGGCUAAGUUAAAGGGCCAGUACCCAUGGAGGUGAAGGCUAAGUUAAAGGGCCAGUACCCAUGGAGGUGAAGGCUAAGUUAAAGGGCCAGUACCCAUGGAGGUGAAGGCUAAGUUAAAGGGCCAGUACCCAUAGAGGUGAAGGCUAAGUUAAAGGACCAGUACCCAUGGAGGUGAGGGCUAAGUUAAAAGGCCAGUACCCAUGGAGGUGAGGGCUAAGUUAAAGGGCCAGUACCCAUGGAGGUGAGGGCUAAGUUAAAGGGCCAGUACCCAUGGAGGUGAAGGCUAAGUUAAAGGGCCAGUACCUAUGGAGGUGAGGGCUAAGUUAAAGGGCCAGUACCCAUAGAGGUGAAGGCUAAGUUAAAGGGCCAGUACCCAUGGAGGUGAAGGCUAAGUUAAAGGGCCAGUACCCAUGGAGGUGAGGGCUAAGUUAAAGGGCCAGUACCCAUGGAGGUGAGGGCUAAGUUAAAGGGCCAGUACCCAUGGAGGUGAGGGCUAAGUUAAAGGGCAAGUACCUAUGGAGGUGAAGGCUAAGUUAAAGGGCCAGUACCCAUGGAGGUGAGGGCUAAGUUAAAGGGCCAGUAGCCAUGGAGGUGAGGGCUAAGUUAAAGGGCCAGUACCCAUGGAGGUGAAGGCUAAGUUAAAGGGCCAGUACCCAUGGAGGUGAGGGCUAAGUUAAAGGGCCAGUAGCCAUGGAGGUGAGGGCUAAGUUAAAGGGCCAGUACCCAUGGAGGUGAGGGCUAAGUUAAAGGGCCAGUAGCCAUGGAGGUGAGGGCUAAGUUAAAGGGCCAGUAGCCAUGGAGGUGAGGGCUAAGUUAAAGGGCCAGUACCCAUGGAGGUGAGGGCUAAGUUAAAGGGCCAGUAGCCAUGGAGGUGAGGGCUAAGUUAAAGGGCCAGUACCCAUGGAGGUGAGGGCUAAGUUAAAGGGCCAGUACCCAUGGAGGUGAGGGCUAAGUUAAAGGGCCAGUACCCAUGGAGGUGAGGGCGUGCUGCAGCUCCGGGCCCUCC